UACUCCUACGGGAGGCAGCAGUGAGGAAUAUUGGUCAAUGGACGGAAGUCUGAACCAGCCAAGUAGCGUGCAGGAUGACGGCCCUAUGGGUUGUAAACUGCUUUUGUAUGGGGAUAAAGUUAGGGACGUGUCCCUAUUUGCAGGUACCAUACGAAUAAGGACCGGCUAAUUCCGUGCCAGCAGCCGCGGUAAUACGGAAGGUCCAGGCGUUAUCCGGAUUUAUUGGGUUUAAAGGGAGCGUAGGCUGGAGAUUAAGUGUGUUGUGAAAUGUAGACGCUCAACGUCUGAAUUGCAGCGCAUACUGGUUUCCUUGAGUACGCACAACGUUGGCGGAAUUCGUCGUGUAGCGGUGAAAUGCUUAGAUAUGACGAAGAACUCCGAUUGCGAAGGCAGCUGACGGGAGCGCAACUGACGCUUAAGCUCGAAGGUGCGGGUAUCAAACAGGAUUAGAUACCCUGGUAGUCCGCACAGUAAACGAUGGAUGCCCGCUGUUGGUACCUGGUAUCAGCGGCUAAGCGAAAGCAUUAAGCAUCCCACCUGGGGAGUACGCCGGCAACGGUGAAACUCAAAGGAAUUGACGG
RNAcentral lists this ribosomal RNA (581 nucleotides) under uncultured bacterium. RNAcentral describes it as "bacterial SSU rRNA". It matches the Rfam family "Bacterial small subunit ribosomal RNA", at positions 334 to 916 of the family's 1533-position model. The record is from RNAcentral.